Long non-coding RNA from Apis cerana (Asiatic honeybee), 1265 nucleotides. RefSeq lists it as uncharacterized. The record is from RefSeq and is a predicted model, not a curated record. NCBI's taxonomy places the organism in Eukaryota, Metazoa, Arthropoda, Insecta, Hymenoptera, Apidae.
UGAACAUUUCAAGUUGGACUAAUUAAUAUUGUAUUUAUUUAUAAGUAUUAAAAAUCUCUUCAAGGAAUACUAAUCACACUUAGAUAUAGCAAUAACGCUAAACAUUGAACGUACUAUUCCUUCAUUUGUCAGGAAUGUUCAGGAAUAGGCCAUUGUGGAAAUCUUACAGUAUCACAAAGAUGUCUCAGAUAGAAUAUUUGACAGAAUAAUUCUUUCUCUAAUUGUGGAUAUCUUAUAGCAGCAAAACUACGCCCAUUUGGUGGUUGCUGAAGAAACUUAACAUGAGUUGUUUCAACUUCUUCAUCAACAGUAUAACUACGCACUUGACCAUUAAGAUAUUGAAUAGUAAAUAAUUGUGGAUUUUCAUUAUCACGAAUCAAUGUGAAAAUAUCUGAUAAAGGUCUAAGAGUACAAAUAUUGUAUGUCUGAGGAUCUCUUUCUAAUAAACAAGUAUCAGAGAGACAAAGAGUUCUUCUUUGAGGAUCUAUAUGUCUAGGUGAAUAUUUGUGAACAGUAAAUUCUGAUACACUUGUUAUAUGUUCAUCACCACUAAAUUUACCCAAUCUCUGAGCAAUAAAAUCAUCUAAUUUGAUUGGUUCUUUCAAAACUUUUAUGCUGAUACCUAAGUUGUUCAUAGCUGAUUCCAGCAGCUUUUUUUUAAUUUCUUCCAUAUGUUGAGAAGCAAAAAGAUGUAAACGUCCAAAUCCGCCACAAACAAUUACAAAGCCAUUAGGAUAAUCUUUUAUUGUAAGAAUUCCUUCAAAAUCUUUAUAACAGUAACUAGCUAAUACCAUAUUGGUUGCUGGAUCUAAUUGAUCAAGACUAUAUGGUGUCACUUCUAAUACGACAGGCAAUCUUGUGUCAGACCAAUGAUGUUUAUAAGCUUGAUAUCUCUAGAGACAAUAAAAGUAUUAAUUUAAUAAAUAUAUAUAUAUAUAAAAUAUAAUAAUAUAUAAAAUAUAAAAUAAUAAUUUGUUUAUUAUUAUAUUUUUGAUUUUAUCCAGUUAUUAAUCCAAAGAAUAUUGGAUAUAUAAUAUAUAUAAUAUUUGAUAAAAGUAUUGAAUAGUUAAUGAAAAUUAUAUAUAAUAUUAUAAAAAUAAUAUGUGUUAGUUAUGCAGAUAACUGGUAACAAAUAUGUAUAUGUUAUUAAUACAUUAUAGGCUAUUGUAUACCAACCAUAUGGCUAAGUUGAUAAGAAAUUUGAUUAAACUUUAACAAUGUUAUUUUUUUGAAAAUAUUAUAUUAAAAAAUAUAUAACUCACCAA